UCUCUUAUAGUAAAAGGUAUUACUUAAGUCUUGUAAACUUAGAUUUCUAUGAGUUAAAAUAGGUGAGAGAG
This 71-nucleotide transfer RNA is filed under the name Brachidontes mutabilis. Its description in RNAcentral is "tRNA-Thr". Lineage: Eukaryota; Metazoa; Mollusca; Bivalvia; Mytilida; Mytilidae. The record is from RNAcentral.